Molecule: RNA transcript, 2275 nt
Organism: Manihot esculenta (cassava)
Lineage: Eukaryota; Viridiplantae; Streptophyta; Magnoliopsida; Malpighiales; Euphorbiaceae
Gene name: aspartic proteinase 36
Exons: 10
Source: RefSeq, a predicted model, not a curated record
UAAUCCAAGUUUGAAACUUCCUCCACUUAACCACCAUUUCUCCUUCAGUUCUUCUCUCUCUCUCUCUCUCUCUCACUCUCGAUGCAUCAGAGAAAGAGCUGCCCCUUCCAUCACCCUCAUCUAUAUCUUUAAAGAAACUACCUAUAACAGACUCAAAAUGCGGCCUUUGUGGCCGUUCUUGAUCUUGGCAGUUCUGCUGCCUGUGUCGGUGGUUUACUGUGCUACUCUUCUCCCUCUUCACAGGGCUUUUCCUUUGAACCACAGACUCCAACUUGACCAACUCAGGGCUCGGGACAGACUCAGGCAUGCCCGCCUCUUGCAGGGCUUUGUUGGCGGUGUCGUCGACUUCUCAGUUCAAGGCUCUUCCGAUCCCUAUCUCGUCGGACUCUAUUUUACAAAAGUGAAAUUGGGCUCUCCUCCAAGAGAAUUUAAUGUGCAGAUUGAUACAGGAAGCGAUGUCUUGUGGGUUACCUGCAGUUCCUGCAGCAAUUGCCCACAAUCCAGUGGCCUUGGAAUUCAGCUCAAUUACUUCGAUACUGCCAGCUCGUCAACUGCUGGGCUAGUCCCAUGUUCCCACCCCAUUUGUACUUCAGAAAUUCAAACCACAGCAACUCAGUGCUCUCAGAGUAAUCAGUGCAGUUACUCAUUCCAAUAUGGAGAUGGAAGUGGGACAACGGGUUACUAUGUAUCUGAUACAUUUUAUUUUGAUGCUGUUGUGGGAGAGUCCUUGAUUGCUAACUCUUCAGCCAGCAUUAACUUUGGAUGUAGCACCUUCCAGUCUGGGGACUUGACUAAGACAGAUAAAGCAGUUGAUGGAAUAUUUGGAUUUGGCCAAGGUGAUCUCUCUGUCAUAUCACAACUGUCAUCGCAUGGGAUAACACCAAGAGUAUUCUCUCAUUGCUUGAAAGGUGAGGGCAGUGGUGGUGGCAUUUUGGUACUUGGUGAGAUUUUGGAGCCAGGAAUAGUUUAUAGUCCCCUUGUGCCAUCACAGCCUCAUUAUAAUUUAAAUCUUCAGAGUAUAGCUGUCAAUGGACAAUUGUUACCCAUUGAUCCAGCAGCAUUUGCAACAUCAAGUAAUCGAGGAACUAUUGUCGACUCUGGAACAACUUUGGCAUAUCUUGUGGAAGAGGCUUAUGAUCCUUUUGUCAGUGCUGUAACUGCUAUGGUCCAACCAUCUGUAACUCCCAUGAUAUCUAAAGGAAGCCAGUGUUAUCUAGUCUCCAACAGUGUAUCUGAGGUAUUUCCUCCAGUCAGUUUAAAUUUUGCUGGUGGUGCAUCUAUGCUGUUAAAGCCAGAAGAAUAUCUUAUAAAUCUUGGUUUCUAUCAGGGUGGAGCUGCAUUGUGGUGCAUUGGUUUUCAGAAGGUUCAAGGAGGAGUAACAAUUUUAGGAGGUUAAGAGCCUGACCUGGCCAAGUGUACCACAAAUUGUUCAGUCAUAUUGUAUCAGAAUUGCAUAAAUUUGCUAUUUAUCUCACUUGUUUCUACCUCCUUAUUCUUGGGUAUCAGCAUUCCAUGGGAGUCUUUUUUUGCCCUUCAAUUUUUUCCAUGAUCUUGUUCUGAAGGAUAAAGUUUUUGUCUAUGAUUUGGCUCGUCAACGGAUUGGAUGGGCUAACUAUGACUGCUCAUCAUCUGUGAAUGUCUCUUUAACAUCUAGCAAGGAUUUCAUCAAUUCAGGACAACUGAGUGUGAGCAGCUCGUCGAGAGACAUGCUCUUCAAGCUGCUACCUCUGAGCAUCACGUCUCUCCUAAUGCACAUAUUAGCAUCGACUAAUUUCCAGUUUUUGUAAUUAAACCUCAGGUUUGAAAUUCAAUUCUUUGUCCAGUUGGAAUUGGCUUAGCCAGCUUUUAUUUAUAGUGGUGGCCAGGCAAGUCCUUUACUUGGAUUACAGUGGUAGCUGUUGCUGUUACAUAAUUCUUCUCUAGUUCCGAUUGCUGAUUCUGGGGCUUCUUCCAUACUCGAGUCCUGCCGGAAUUGUAAAUUAUCUUUGCAUUGGGUUGGGUGCUGUAUCAUUACCAGGUUGUUAAGUAGAAGAUAAUAUUUUGUCCCAGGAGAAAACAGAUCUUCUGUGGGGACAAACCUUUGGGAUAGGUAGAGAUAUAGAAAGAAUAUUGUCCAAGCUAGUCAAUAUUUUCUUAUUAUUUGCGUGCUUCUUUUGUUACUUGUUGGAUAUCUUUGUAAGUGUUCAUUUCUGUGAGGUUUCUAUUCUGAUUCAAGAGUUGUAAUUCUAUGUUUCUCAAAUGAAAUACAUGAAGCUUAGCCAUUGUAUGCCUUUUA